Molecule: long non-coding RNA, 378 nt
Filed under: Felis catus (domestic cat)
Lineage: Eukaryota; Metazoa; Chordata; Mammalia; Carnivora; Felidae
Description: lncRNA (ENSFCAG00000041806.2)
Source: RNAcentral
GCCUGGCAGGACUCCAUCGGCCUCACGGCAGAGGCCCUCCUCUGCCUCCGUCCAUGUCUGGAUUGCCUCCGUCUGUUCCCCUGAAAUGCCCUGAGACCUGCCCCUCCUCGGAACCCAGCCACUGCCCUGAUGUGGGACCCUAUGGCUUGACACACGGACCGUUUGAGGGACCACCAGACUGGGUUCCUCCUUACGACCUUUCCCUCUCCUGGUUUCUGCACAUCUCUGCAACGUGAAUGUGGCCGGAUCUCCUGUACGAUUCAGUUGUGAUAUUUACACCACCGAUGUUGCUGGUGAGUUUCUGAUACGGCCAGGCGACCUAUCCCCACUAGGUUUUAACAUCCUAGAGGGCUGGACGAGGGCUUCUGGUCAUUUCUC